CGCAAGCCUGACGGAGCAAGACCGCGUGGGGGAGGAAGGCUCUUGGGUUGUAAACCCCUUUUCUCAGGGAGGAACAAAUGACGGUACCUGAGGAAUCAGCCUCGGCUAACUCCGUGCCAGCAGCCGCGGUAAUACGGAGGAGGCAAGCGUUAUCCGGAAUUAUUGGGCGUAAAGCGUCCGCAGGUGGCGAUUCAAGUCUGCUGUCAAAGCACGGGGCUUAACUCCGUAAAGGCAGUGGAAACUGAAUAGCUAGAGUGCCGUAGGGGUAGAGGGAAUUCCCGGUGUAGCGGUGAAAUGCGUAGAGAUCGGGAAGAACAUCGGUGGCGAAAGCGCUCUACUGGACCGCAACUGACACUGAGGGACGAAAGCUAGGGGAGCG
Molecule: ribosomal RNA, 379 nt
Filed under: uncultured cyanobacterium
Lineage: Bacteria; Bacillati; Cyanobacteriota
Description: bacterial SSU rRNA
Rfam family: Bacterial small subunit ribosomal RNA
Source: RNAcentral